Molecule: ribosomal RNA, 643 nt
Filed under: uncultured Actinomycetes bacterium
Lineage: Bacteria; Bacillati; Actinomycetota; Actinomycetes
Description: bacterial SSU rRNA
Rfam family: Bacterial small subunit ribosomal RNA
Source: RNAcentral
CGCGGCCUAUCAGCUUGUUGGUGAGGUAAUGGCUCACCAAGGCGUCGACGGGUAGCCGGCCUGAGAGGGUGACCGGCCACACUGGGACUGAGACACGGCCCAGACUCCUACGGGAGGCAGCAGUGGGGAAUAUUGCACAAUGGGCGGAAGCCUGAUGCAGCAACGCCGCGUGAGGGAUGACGGCCUUCGGGUUGUAAACCUCUUUUAGCAGGGAAGAAGCGAGAGUGACGGUACCUGCAGAAAAAGCACCGGCUAACUACGUGCCAGCAGCCGCGGUAAUACGUAGGGUGCAAGCGUUAUCCGGAAUUAUUGGGCGUAAAGAGCUCGUAGGCGGUCUGUCGCGUCUGCUGUGAAAUCCCGAGGCUCAACCUCGGGCUUGCAGUGGGUACGGGCAGACUAGAGUGCGGUAGGGGAGAUUGGAAUUCCUGGUGUAGCGGUGGAAUGCGCAGAUAUCAGGAGGAACACCGAUGGCGAAGGCAGAUCUCUGGGCCGUAACUGACGCUGAGGAGCGAAAGGGUGGGGAGCAAACAGGCUUAGAUACCCUGGUAGUCCACCCCGUAAACGUUGGGAACUAGUUGUGGGGUCCUUUCCACGGAUUCCGUGACGCAGCUAACGCAUUAAGUUCCCCGCCUGGGGAGUACGG